CUGAAAACAACUUAUGACACGACUGACGAGAAAACACUUCAAUUUGGAUUCUUAAUUAUUUUCUCUUCUCACAGAAAGAAUGCUUUGCUACACUAUUCCCUGUCUACUACUUGCAGUAUCACCUGUAAUAUUUUCAUCACAAAUUGUACCAGAAAAAGAAAGUGAAGUCAGCGGUAUUUUAUAUAAGAUUUUGACAUCAGACAUUGACCCGGAAAUAAAACGAAAACUUUUAUUGGUGGACUAUUUAGGUAAACUUUCCACACAACAUGAAAUAGAAGAUGAUACGGAACCGUUCAGUGAUCUACCAAAACGAUCUCAUAUGUGGUUUAGGCAUAGUUCGGGAAAUAUUCCAAUUCAAACAAGACUAUCGUUUGGUCAACCUCUCAGUCGGAAUGGUAUCGGUUCGAUACACAAAAUUAGAUAUGGCAAAAAAUAGAAACUCACAACAUUCAAAUUUGUGAUAUACCGAGUUUAUGCAAUUUGUGUAGACACUGUUUUGUUAAAAUAAUUAUUGUGAAGUCGUCUGUGUGUUGGUGGAUACCGACAUGAAAACUAAACUACAUGUAUAGCAAAAGAACUCAAAAGACUACGGGAAUUUUUCGCAGACGAAUAAAAAAAUUGGUUUCAGUAUAUUAUUUUGACUGUUAAUUAUCUUAAAGUAUUAUCACUUUUAUGUAAAACAUAUAAACUUAAACAAACAAAUGAAUACAUUUUGUCACAUACGUAGGUCUUCGAAAUAAAUGAUGAAAACUCA
Molecule: long non-coding RNA, 754 nt
Organism: Mytilus californianus (California mussel)
Lineage: Eukaryota; Metazoa; Mollusca; Bivalvia; Mytilida; Mytilidae
Exons: 2
Source: RefSeq, a predicted model, not a curated record